UGGGGAAUAUUGGACAAUGGGCGAAAGCCUGAUCCAGCCAUGCCGCGUGUGUGAAGAAGGUCUUCGGAUUGUAAAGCACUUUAAGUUGGGAGGAAGGGCAUUAACCUAAUACGUUAGUGUUUUGACGUUACCGACAGAAUAAGCACCGGCUAACUCUGUGCCAGCAGCCGCGGUAAUACAGAGGGUGCAAGCGUUAAUCGGAAUUACUGGGCGUAAAGCGCGCGUAGGUGGUUUGUUAAGUUGGAUGUGAAAUCCCCGGGCUCAACCUGGGAACUGCAUUCAAAACUGACUGACUAGAGUAUGGUAGAGGGUGGUGGAAUUUCCUGUGUAGCGGUGAAAUGCGUAGAUAUAGGAAGAAACACCAGUGGCGAAGGCGACCACCUGGACUAAUACUGACACUGAGGUGCGAAAGCGUGGGGAGCAAACA
This 427-nucleotide ribosomal RNA is filed under the name uncultured bacterium. RNAcentral's name for it is "partial 16S ribosomal RNA". It matches the Rfam family "Bacterial small subunit ribosomal RNA", at positions 355 to 774 of the family's 1533-position model. The record is from RNAcentral.